ACGGGAGGCAGCAGUGGGGAAUAUUGCACAAUGGGGGAAACCCUGAUGCAGCGACGCCGCGUGAGUGAAGAAGUAUUUCGGUAUGUAAAGCUCUAUCAGCAGGGAAGAAAAUGACGGUACCUGACUAAGAAGCCCCGGCUAACUACGUGCCAGCAGCCGCGGUAAUACGUAGGGGGCAAGCGUUAUCCGGAUUUACUGGGUGUAAAGGGAGCGUAGACGGCCAGACAAGGCUGAUGUGAAAGCCCGGGGCCCAACCCCGGAACUGCAUUGGAAACUGCCAGGCUGGAGUGCAGGAGAGGCAAGUGGAAUUCCUAGUGUAGCGGUGAAAUGCGUAGAUAUUAGGAGGAACACCAGUGGCGAAGGCGGCUUGCUGGACUGUAACUGACGUUGAGGCUCGAAAGCGUGGGGAGCAAACAGGAUUAGAUACCCUGGUA
This 434-nucleotide ribosomal RNA is filed under the name uncultured Lachnospiraceae bacterium. RNAcentral describes it as "partial 16S ribosomal RNA". It matches the Rfam family "Bacterial small subunit ribosomal RNA", at positions 341 to 792 of the family's 1533-position model. The record is from RNAcentral. Lineage: Bacteria; Bacillati; Bacillota; Clostridia; Lachnospirales; Lachnospiraceae.